CUGCUGCCACAUGCCUGGCUCAGCCGGCAAGGAGACUACUGCUCCAAACACCAUGUAGUCACACAGUGUGGGAAUGAUACUGCUGCAGUACUGGGAUGAGAUCAAGGUCUUGGUGAUAGAGUGAGAUCAGUAGUAUUGGUAGGAUUUGAAGCAGGGGAACAAAGUAGUAUGUUUCUGUGCUCUUUUGACUAGUAAACAGAGAAUGUUUCCACUUCACAAGAGCUGCUUUCCUGUAGCAAGAUAUCAAAUUAUGACCUUAAACAAACUCUCUCGUUCAAAGGACUGUACCAAACCCAUUUCACCAGGAGCAUGUCAUCUCAGGAGGCCUGGUUGUGAGCCUGGUUCCUUUGAACACCGCGAAUCCAGGAGGUUCAGCAGGCAAUGCAGUGUUUACAAAACAAUAGGACUUUAUGCUGUACAGAAUGGGAGUAAAUGCCCGUAAGCUGUCGCAGAAGAGGAACAUGCUGUACCAACCUGCUCACCACACAGGUCUGAUUUACAAAAGCACUUCAUCGCUGACCUAAUUUGGGUCAACAUAAGGUAUGUAGAAAGAAAUCCUGUUGACCUAAUUACAAGUGAAGUUUAUCACUGCCAGGUGCUUUUA
RNAcentral lists this long non-coding RNA (604 nucleotides) under Coturnix japonica (Japanese quail). RNAcentral's name for it is "lncRNA (ENSCJPG00005000387.1)". The record is from RNAcentral. Lineage: Eukaryota; Metazoa; Chordata; Aves; Galliformes; Phasianidae.